GAUGAACGCUGGCGGCGUGCCUAAUACAUGCAAGUCGAGCGAACAGACGAGGAGCUUGCUCCUCUGACGUUAGCGGCGGACGGGUGAGUAACACGUGGAUAACCUACCUAUAAGACUGGGAUAACUUCGGGAAACCGGAGCUAAUACCGGAUAAUAUAUUGAACCGCAUGGUUCAAUAGUGAAAGACGGUUUUGCUGUCACUUAUAGAUGGAUCCGCGCCGCAUUAGCUAGUUGGUAAGGUAACGGCUUACCAAGGCAACGAUGCGUAGCCGACCCGAGAGGGUGAUCGGCCACACUGGAACGGAGACACGGUCCAGACGCCUACGGGAGGCAGCAGUAGGGAAUCUUCCGCAAUGGUCGAAAGCCUGACGGAGCAACGCCGCGUGAGUGAUGAAGGUCUUCGGAUCGUAAAACUCUGUUAUUAGGGAAGAACAAAUGUGUAAGUAACUAUGCACGUCUUGACGGUACCUAAUCAGAAAGCCACGGCUAACUACGUG
RNAcentral lists this ribosomal RNA (497 nucleotides) under uncultured bacterium. RNAcentral's name for it is "partial 16S ribosomal RNA". It matches the Rfam family "Bacterial small subunit ribosomal RNA", at positions 28 to 507 of the family's 1533-position model. The record is from RNAcentral.